Molecule: long non-coding RNA, 2602 nt
Organism: Megalopta genalis
Lineage: Eukaryota; Metazoa; Arthropoda; Insecta; Hymenoptera; Halictidae
Source: RefSeq, a predicted model, not a curated record
GCAGUUUUAGUUGGAUAGGACGGUGCCCUGUCCCCGAGAUAAGCUUGGGCGUUAUAGCUACUUGGCCUACUGUCUUUGAACGCUGUUGUCUUACCUUUACCGUAAUUACCGUAAUUACCGUAAUUACCGAACGAGUAAUCAGGCUCUGGUUCCUUCGAGAGAUAGUUGUAACCAGCGUUAAGGGCAUAGUCUCCCAGGUACUUGUUAUAUUUGCUAUACUUCCCCGUGUUCGCUGUACUCGCCGUACCGUAUUGGGAAAGAUCGGAGGUUCCCCUCAAGUUAUUGAGCAGAGUACUACUACCGGCGGACAUUGGCAGGUACAUCGGAGAAACGUAAUCUCUCGCCCCGUUUCCAUGGCUGCCUCGCACGUAGCGAUUCUCGGGAUGAAGAGAGUAGACGUCGUUCGCGUACUUGCCGCUACCAGCUCCGAACACGCUCUCCUUGUGUUUCCCGUAAGAGUAGUCGGUGCUAGGACUGUUCAACAAGCUGGAAGGCUCUCUGGUGAACGUUUGAUCGCCGUCCAUGUAUCCUCCUGUGGCCGUCGUGUGGCCCCUGAACGCAUCCGCGGAAUAGUCUCUGAAAGAAGAACUUUCGGACGUCAGCCCGGGAAAGCUUCCGGUGCUGGUGGCUCCAGGCAAGUUGUCGGAGAAUCUCAUAUAUUCUGGACUCUUGUGUUUGCCGCUGGAGAACGACAUCGCCUGGUUGAACUCGGAUCCCGCUUGAUCCAUGCUCUGAGCAUACCCGCUGAAAGUCGAGUCCCCGUUGUUGUUGUUAUUGUUGUUGGCGUUCGUGUAGCUCUCGAACGACGAUUGAAUAGGAUCGUUCAUGAAGUAGGAGCUUGCACCGAGACUGUCACGCGCAUUACUGGAGAAUCCUUGGUAGCCAGGAUUGUGCGCGUUCUGCGAAAAUCCGCUGUAAGAACUGCCUCUCAGACUAUCCUCGAGGCUGGGUUGGCUUCUACCGUUGCUCAACGAUUGUCCACUGGUCCCGGCCGAGUAAAAGUCCGUGUUCUCUCUGUGGCCGUCCUUGAUGAUGUUGCUGUUGUACUCGAACGCAUUGUCCCCCGUGAUCGAGUAGCCUGCGUUAGACAAAGGUCGCUUGAGAAUUUAUCGUUUAGCAGAACUAUCUGAAAUUUUCUCGACGCGUAAUACGUACUGGUGACCGGUGGUUCGGCGCGCACUAACAGGAUGCUGCCGAAGAUCACCGCCUUCUAAAGUCAACAUACAUAAAGUAUAUUAUAGACGAUCCGACCACAUACGUACAUGCAUAAUUUUCUUUCGACUAAUCUUGUUCAACACGCUUAGACUUAUCGUACUCACAAGCGAAAUGAUUUUCGCCAUGGCAGGGGAGGUCCUGGAUUAGACGACGGAGCUUACGUGCCUACGGACCCGCUGCGAAGCCGGUGUUCCUUCACUAAAUUCAAACUACACACAUACUGGCAUGCGUGUCUGUUCCUUACGGUUUUAUACUCCUAGGAAUCCCUCCUCGCUCGCAAAAAGGGAAAGCAAUGGGUCAGUCGUGUGCCUGGCUAUUCAUAGUGAACUAUGAGCGGCAUGACCUACCUAGCAGUAAUUAGACUUUUUAAUACAUAUAGAAAAGUAUCCCUUUCACGAGGUACCGGUUACGAGAUUACAUCGAACCUGACGUUGCUGUCUCCAUUACCAUUGCCAUUGCCAUUGCCAUUGUCAUCCCGUGGCUACCGGAUAAUACAAUGAAAAAUCUUCAAACUUCUUAUUUUAAAUCGAGAUAAAGAUUAUUAUCGAUAUCUGGAAAUUGUCCAUUUUACUUCGGGACAUCUUGCUCUUCAGGUUUUUACAUUUUCACCUGAAGAUUCUUUCGCACAUACAUUACGUGCAUACGUCCACGUUGACCUAAUUUCUAUAAAUUACCAAUUACUAUUGUCAAGGUUUAUAGAUAUGCGUUUGUUACGGUACGUGGAUAGAUAGCUUUCGUUUGCGAAACGAAGGUGAAUUAUAUUACGCGGGUAUUCUGAGCCUAUUCUAACCGAUUGGAAUUAAUGCAUGUGAGAGAAAUGGAAGCUCUCUAAACGAAGGAGCAGCAUCGAAGGAAACGCGUUGAGCCCGAUCGAAAAUGUAGAUCACAAUAGAGAAUUGAAUCAUUCUCGUUACACAAUAUGUAUCUUCGUUUACGUUAUUGUUCGCGCGCCGAGAUAUCGAGUAGCUCGGUGCUUCUCGCGCGAUCUCGUCGUUAUCUUAACGGUACAAUGGCAUCGUCUUGGAUCGUCGCGUGGACCGGCUCGAAAUAUGAAGGAGGUUUAUGUUUCCCGAUUACUCCGAUUACCGGGAAUCUUGUUCUUUUAUUCUUUGCGAGGAUAAAGAGAAAAACAACUGUUUUCGCGCUGGUCAGUGAGAAUAACUCCUUAAGGCCAGCCUACUUAAAACUCGACGUGCUCCUAUUUUAAAACGCGCCGAUAGAAAAUGCUCGAAGAGAUCUCACCGAGGCGAGGGAUCGAAAUUCGUAAACAUCGGAAAGAGUGUAUACCGUGGCGAGGAUCGACGCGCGGCUCUACGAGGCUCGACGAGCCUCGCAUCCUGCAUAAAACGCAGGAGCACCAUGAAUACAAAUCACAUUUCGUCCAAAG